RNAcentral lists this unclassified non-coding RNA (337 nucleotides) under soil metagenome. Its description in RNAcentral is "partial contains 5.8S ribosomal RNA, internal transcribed spacer 2, and large subunit ribosomal RNA". The stretch from base 1 to 120 matches the Rfam family "5.8S ribosomal RNA", at positions 35 to 154 of the family's 154-position model. The record is from RNAcentral.
GAUGAAGAACGUAGUGAAAUGCGAUAAGUAAUGUGAAUUGCAGAAUUCAGUGAAUCAUCGAAUCUUUGAACGCACAUUGCGCCCGCCAGUAUUCUGGCGGGCAUGCCUGUCUGAGCGUCAUUUCAACCCUCAAGCAACUUCUGCUUGGUGUUGGGGAUCGGCCGUCAAACGCCGCCCCCGAAAUCUAUUGGCGAUCUCGCUGUAGCUUCCUAUGCGUAGUAGUAACAUCUCGCAUCUGGAGAGCGGCGCGGUCAUGCCGUAAAACACCCAACUUCUCAGGUUGACCUCAGAUCAGGUAGGAAUACCCGCUGAACUAAAGCAUAUCAUAAGCGGAGGA